AGUGAACGCUGGCGGUAGGCCUAACACAUGCCAGUCGAACGGCAGCACAGUAAGAGCUUGCUCUUACGGGUGGCGAGUGGCGGACGGGUGAGGAAUACAUCGGAAUCUACUUUUUCGUGGGGGAUAACGUAGGGAAACUUACGCUAAUACCGCAUACGACCUACGGGUGAAAGCAGGGGAUCUUCGGACCUUGCGCGAUUGAAUGAGCCGAUGUCGGAUUAGCUAGUUGGCGGGGUAAAGGCCCACCAAGGCGACGAUCCGUAGCUGGUCUGAGAGGAUGAUCAGCCACACUGGAACUGAGACACGGUCCAGACUCGUACGGGAGGCAGCAGUGGGGAAUAUUGGAGAAUGGGCGAAAGCCUGAUCCAGCCAUACCGCGUGAGUGAAGAAGGCCUUCGGGUUGUAAAGCCCUUUUGUUGGGAAAGAAAAGCAGCAGGUUAAUACCCCGCUGUUCUGACGGUACCCAAAGAAUAAGCACCGGCUAACUUCGUG
RNAcentral lists this ribosomal RNA (492 nucleotides) under uncultured bacterium. RNAcentral describes it as "partial 16S ribosomal RNA". It matches the Rfam family "Bacterial small subunit ribosomal RNA", at positions 29 to 507 of the family's 1533-position model. The record is from RNAcentral.